Molecule: long non-coding RNA, 2451 nt
Organism: Triticum aestivum (bread wheat)
Lineage: Eukaryota; Viridiplantae; Streptophyta; Magnoliopsida; Poales; Poaceae
Exons: 3
Source: RefSeq, a predicted model, not a curated record
CGUGGCAUCCUCUCAAGCUCCUCAUUGUACUGCUGGAUUGUAUCCAAGAAUAAGGUGGGCUUGCAGGUGUUGUAAAAAUCUAGUGCUUCUCUAGAAUAAGGAGUCGUGCUGUUCAAUGCAGGAAUGAAGCAUAAAAUUUAUUCACGAGCGGGGAGGAGUAAUUUCGGCACCAGAUUUUGUGGGGAAACAAAACGGACGUUGUCCUUUAUAUAUAUGCUUCCCUGUGGUCCAAGAGAUCACGUGCAAUUAGAGCGCGAGUAUGUCCAGUUUGGCAGCUAAUCCAAAAAUCCAUAUGCAUUAUGGAGAUACCAAGGUGAUGUGCAAACUCAUAGUUUUCAUAUUGGUUGUUUUCACAUCGUGGGACCUACUCGUCAAUAGGGCAUCUUUUUCCCCCAAGCUCUCAAUUGACUGCUAAAGUGAUUUUUUCAGACAAAAUCGUCAUAUCGAAGGUUAUUAUGCAGAUCGGCCCAAUAUGAGGACUCGGCUAGAGUUGCUCUUACUAAAGUACGGAAUUACUAACGCUCACAGGCAUCUCGCUGAAGCAAAAUAUUUUUUGCUCUGUUUACAGCUCUAAGAAACAACGAGGGAAACAAGUAAAAAAUAGUCAUCUCAGGCAAACCUAACAGCUCACUUGCUUUGCAGAAUUUAGUCAGUUUAGCCAGAUGGCUAUGAAUGUGCUUUACCCGGCAUCCUCGGCGGGUUUGCCCCCGUGUUGAAUGAUAGACAUAGUUGUCCCUACGUUUAAUCUAUAGAGGUGCCAUGCCAGAUCCCUGCUCUUUUGUUUUUAACCUCUGGAAGAUUGAUGCGUCUCUGCCAUGCCAUUGCUGUGCACGCAGUGCAGUUAUGCGUAUGUGCCCACUUUUCGAUCGGUUGCCAAAACCAAAGGCAGACAUGUGAUCGAUCAUUGACGGGACGAGCUAGCAUCUAGCCGAGGCGGAGGCUAGUCCGUUCCUGAAGCAUACGUACACCGUGCUCGUGGUCGUGGGAUCGUGGCAACGGUUUUGAGCUGUGUACGUGAAGGUUAAGCUGUGGGAACGAAGCCCAUCGAAUCAACGUGUGGCCAUGAACAGCCGCGCGACACAGGGCAAGAGGGCGCGGUAGAAGACGAGCGCGCACAUGCCCGGGUCACAUGGGGGCAACGGUCACGGGCGGAACGGAAGGGCCGCGCGUUUGUCCGCGCAUCGGCCGGGCCGCAACCGAUUCUCUUCUCCCGUGCUCCUUCGUUGUCCAAUCAUUCAUCCAUCCACCCAUCCAUCUCCGCCCUGCCGCUCAUGGCCGUGCAUCCUUGCUUAUUAGUUGGCUUCCAAAAUAGGUUGCCCCGCUCGGUCGGUGACUUGAUCAGCCGUGACCUCUCCCCUAGGACAAUGGGUGGUCGAUGCCCACAUUUUCAGCGCUAUCUCCGUCUCCGAGACGAUCAAUCUCCACAGCCUACACGUCUCUUAACUUGUACGUGAUGUGAACUGGUACAUUUUGUGAAGGCAGACAGAGGCCAUAAAAAAGGCCCUGAAUCCACAUGCCCUUGCUCAGAAACAAUCACCGCCCCCUGCACUGCACUGCACCCGCCGCCAGGCGUUCUGUGCUGUCCCGGAGGUUCGCCAACACGUAACACGUAGGAGGAGUAUGUGGCUACACGUCUGGUUUCCCUUACUGUCGCGUUCGCGCCUAAUCUUCACUGAUUUCUGCACUCGUCCUAUUCUUUUAUUGCACCGCUGCAGAAUCCAUUUGCAAGAAUCUAAUCUACGCUCAGAUUGUCCUGGCACCUGUCCACCUUCUCUUCUUUAUACAUCCGCAUACGGCAGGUGUUUGAUUUAUACGCACGCAAGUGUAUCCUGGUCACAACAGCAGCAUUGAUAAUCUGAUUGAUACAGCACUGCUGUACAUCAGUAUUAUUACUUCGUUGUGGUUCAUCUAAUAUAGCGUAUACAGACAGACAAUGGGAAGGCACAACUGCUCUCUGCACACGUGGUUACUAAUUUUUUUUUUGAGACAAGUACACGUGGUUACUAUAGUAUGCAGUAACAAACACUCGACUGGUCACUCAUCAGGCUAAGCCUCACAGGACGCACUUUUAUCGCUAGCGGCAACCUGCUGGUUUGACGAUAAAUCGGCAUUUAGCAGCAACUGCUCGGUGAAAGACAAAUACUACUGGCAGGCACGGGGUCUGACGUCCACUGGUUAAUUCUCAAGGCAACGACAUACUCAGGGCUCCUCCUCCACCUCCUCCUCCUCUUCCAAGAAAAAAAGUUAGGGUUUGUGCCUCUCGCUGGCGCCGGCGCAGGUCCGCCUCGUCUCCGGUGGCCCUAGGGCCAUGGAGGCGCGGUGGAUCCUGGCAAGGGCCGGCGGGAGGGCUCCGUUUUUAGUCGUUUUUUUUAAUCUUGUUAGGGUUUGUGUCCUACUCAGGAAGGCGAGACGGCGGCGGCUCCCUGAAGAUGGAAUAAAGGUCUCCCCGCC